GACGAACGCUGGCGGCGUGCUUAACACAUGCAAGUCGAACGAAGAGCGACGGAAGCUUGCUUCUAUCAAUCUUAGUGGCGAACGGGUGAGUAACGCGUAAUCAACCUGCCCUUCAGAGGGGGACAACAGUUGGAAACGACUGCUAAUACCGCAUACGAUCUAAUCUCGGCAUCGAGGAUGGAUGAAAGGUGGCCUCGACAUGUAAGCUAUCACUGAAGGAGGGGAUUGCGUCUGAUUAGCUAGUUGGAGGGGUAACGGCCCACCAGGGCGAUGAUCAGUAGACGGUCUGAGAGGAUGAACGGCCACAUUGGGACUGAGACACGGCCCAGACUCCUACGGGAGGCAGCAGUGGGGAAUCUUCCGCAAUGGACGAAAGUCUGACGGAGCAACGCCGCGUGAGUGAUGACGGCCUUCGGGUUGUAAAGCUCUGUUAAUCGGGACGAAAGGCCUUCUUGCGAAUAGUGAGAAGGAUUGACGGUACCGGCAGAGAAAGCCACGGCUAACUACGUG
This 510-nucleotide ribosomal RNA is filed under the name uncultured bacterium. RNAcentral describes it as "partial 16S ribosomal RNA". It matches the Rfam family "Bacterial small subunit ribosomal RNA", at positions 28 to 507 of the family's 1533-position model. The record is from RNAcentral.